CCUUCUCAAACCCAGCAUCAGAUACAAAUAUCUCCCAUCUGUCUCCCUGUGAACUCAGAGCUCUCUGCCUCCAGCUCUGCCAGGGUCACAAUGCUCUCCCAGUCCUUGCUCCUCUGGAUCCUACUGCUCUGGCCUCAAGAAUCCCAGGCAGCCAUUGAGCUGACCCAGUCCCCAGCCUCCCUGUCUGUGGCUCCAGGAGACCAAGUCACCAUCAGCUGCAAGGCCAGUUCCAGCGUUAGCAAGUACAUGGCCUGGUUCCAGCAGAAACCAGGACAGUCUCCUAAGCUCCUGAUCUAUUCUGCUUCCACCCUGCAGUCUGGGGUCCCUGACCGGUUCAGUGGCAGUGGCUCUGGGACAGAUUUCACCCUCACCAUCAGUGCAGUGGAGGCUGAGGACGUGGCAGAUUAUUACUGUGCUCAUUAUAAUUCCCAAGCAGCCAUAGAGCUCACCCAGUCCCCAGCCUCCCUCUCUGUGGCUGCAGAAGACCAAGUCACCAUCAGCUGCAAGGGCAGUUCUAACAUUGUCAAGGCAAUGCAAUGGUUCCAGCAGAAACCAGGACAGUCUCCCAAACUCCUGAUCUAUGUUUCUUCCAUCCUGCAGUACAGGGUCCCUGCCCGAUUCAGUGGCAGUGGCUCUGGGACAGAUUACACCUUCACCAUCAGUGCAGUGGAGGGUAAGGAUGUGGCAGAUUACAACUGUUCUAAGUAUGACAGUGCUCCAUUCCCACAGUGA
Molecule: non-coding RNA, 732 nt
Organism: Phascolarctos cinereus (koala)
Lineage: Eukaryota; Metazoa; Chordata; Mammalia; Diprotodontia; Phascolarctidae
Source: the annotation of a RefSeq genome assembly